This 490-nucleotide ribosomal RNA is filed under the name uncultured bacterium. RNAcentral describes it as "partial 16S ribosomal RNA". It matches the Rfam family "Bacterial small subunit ribosomal RNA", at positions 30 to 507 of the family's 1533-position model. The record is from RNAcentral.
AUUGAACGCUGGCGGCAGGCCUAACACAUGCAAGUCGAACGGUAACAGGAAGCAGCUUGCUGCUUUGCUGACGAGUGGCGGACGGGUGAGUAAUGUCUGGGAAACUGCCCGAUGGAGGGGGAUAACUACUGGAAACGGUAGCUAAUACCGCAUAACGUCGCAAGACCAAAGAGGGGGACCUUAGGGCCUCUUGCCAUCGGGUGUGCCCAGAUGGGGUUAGCUAGUAGGUGGGGUAACGGCUCACCUAGGCGACGAUCCCUAGCUGGUCUGAGAGGAUGACCAGCCACACUGGAACUGAGACACGGUCCAGACUCCUACGGGAGGCAGCAGUGGGGAAUAUUGCACAAUGGGCGCAAGCCUGAUGCAGCCAUGCCGCGUGUAUGAAGAAGGCCUUCGGGUUGUAAAGUACUUUCAGCGGGGAGGAAGGGAGUAAAGUUAAUACCUUUGCUCAUUGACGUUACCCGCAGAAGAAGCACCGGCUAACUCCGUG